This 496-nucleotide ribosomal RNA is filed under the name uncultured bacterium. Its description in RNAcentral is "partial 16S ribosomal RNA". It matches the Rfam family "Bacterial small subunit ribosomal RNA", at positions 29 to 507 of the family's 1533-position model. The record is from RNAcentral.
AUGAACGCUGGCGGCGUGCCUCAUCCAUGCCAGUCGCGCGAACAGACGAGGAGCUUGCUCCUUUGACGUUAGCGGCGGACGGGUGAGUAACACGUGGAUAACCUACCUAUAAGACUGGGAUAACUUCGGGAAACCGGAGCUAAUACCGGAUAACAUGUUGAACCGCAUGGUUCAACAGUGAAAGACGGUCUUGCUGUCACUUAUAGAUGGAUCCGCGCCGCAUUAGCUAGUUGGUAAGGUAACGGCUUACCAAGGCAACGAUGCGUAGCCGACCUGAGAGGGUGAUCGGCCACACUGGAACUGAGACACGGUCCAGACUCCUACGGGAGGCAGCAGUAGGGAAUCUUCCGCAAUGGGCGAAAGCCUGACGGAGCAACGCCGCGUGAGUGAAGAAGGUCUUCGGAUCGUAAAACUCUGUUAUUAGGGAAGAACAAAUGUGUAAGUAACUAUGCACGUCUUGACGGUACCUAAUCAGAAAGCCACGGCUAACUACGUG